GGUUCGAUCCUGGCUCAGAUUGAACGCUGGCGGAUGCUUUACACAUGCAAGUCGAACGGCAGCACGGACUUCGGUCUGGUGGCGAGUGGCGAACGGGUGAGUAAUGUAUCGGAAAUCGUGCGCUUCAGCAGCGUGGAUGUCCACGCGAAAGCGUAGCUACUACCGCAUACGCCCUUCGGGGAAAGCGGGGACCUUCGCCUCGCACUAGGAGCGGCCGAUAUCGGAUUAGCUAGCGCAGUGGUGGCAACGGCUCACCAAGGCGACGAUCCGUAGCUGGUUUGAGAGACGACCAGCCACACUGGGGACUGAGACACUGCCCAGACUUUACGGAGGCAGCAGUGGGGAAUUUUGGACAAUGGGGAAAACCCCUGAUCCAGCCAUCCCGCGUGUGCGAUGAAGGCCUCGGGUUGUAAAGCACUUUUGGCAGGAAGAAACGGCACGGGAUAAUACCCCGUGCAACUGACGGUACUGGCAGAAUAAGCACUGGCUAACUACGUGCCAGCAGCCGCGGUAAUACGUAGGGUGCAAGCGCGUUAAUCGGAAUUACUGGGCGCAAAAGCGUGCGCAGGCGGGUUCGGAAAGAAAGAUGUGAAAUCCCAGAGCUUAACUUUGGAACUGCAUUUUUAACUACCGAGCUAGAGUGUGUCAGAGGGAGGUGGAAUUCCGCGUAAGUGCAGUGAAAUGCGUAGAUAUGCGGAGGAACACCGAUGGCGAAGGCAGCCUCCUGGGAUAACACCGACGCUCAUGCACGAAAGCGUGGGGAGCAAACAGAUUAGAUACCCCGGUAGUCCACGCCCUAAACGAUGUCAACUAGCUGUUGGGGCCUUCGGGCCUCGGUAGCGCAGCUAACGCGUGAAGUUGACCGCCUGGGGAGUACGGUCGCAAGAUUAAAACCCAGCGAAUUGACUGUGGGGACCCGCACAAGCGGUAUGGAUGAUGUGGAUUAAUUCCGAUGCAACGCGAAAACCUAAACUACCCUUGACAUGUCUGGAAUCCCGAAGAGAUUUGGGAGUGCUCGCAAGAGAACCGGAACACAGGUGCUGCAUGGCUGUUCGCCGGGCGUCAAAUGUGAGAUGUUGGGUUAAGUCCCGCAACGAGCGCAACCCUUGUCAUUAGUUGCUACGGAAAGGGCACUCUAAUGAGACUGCCGGUGACAAACUGGAGGAAGGUGGGGAUGACGUCAGUCCUCGCGGCUCUGCGGUAGGGCUUCACACGUCAUACAAUGGUCGGGACAGAGGGUCGCCAACCUGGCGAGGGGGAGCCAAUCCCAGAAACCUGAUCGUAUCCGACCAGCGGCGCUCCGAACUCGACUGCGUGAAGUCGGAAUCGCUAGUAAUCGCGGAUCAGCAUGUCGCGGUGAAUACGUUCCCGGGUCUGUACACACCGCCCGUCACACCAUGGGAGUGGGUUUUAUCAGAAGUAGUUAGCUCAACCGUAAGGGAGGGCGAUUACCACGGUAGGAUUCAUGACUGUGAAGUCGUAACAAGGUAGCUCUGAAAGCAUACUCUGGAUGC
RNAcentral lists this ribosomal RNA (1514 nucleotides) under uncultured Bordetella sp. Its description in RNAcentral is "partial 16S-23S ribosomal RNA intergenic spacer". It matches the Rfam family "Bacterial small subunit ribosomal RNA". The record is from RNAcentral. Lineage: Bacteria; Pseudomonadati; Pseudomonadota; Betaproteobacteria; Burkholderiales; Alcaligenaceae.